GGUCAAUUGACAAUUUUGGUCAAUUUGACUUAAUUGAAGAUCUUACUUUGCUGAACAUUAUUGCUGUUUACAGUUUAUUUCUAUCUAUAAUUAUAUUCAAGAUAAUAAACAAAAACAGCAAAAUUUCUUUAAAAUUACCAAUUCAGGGGCAGUAACCCAACAACAGGUUGUCUGAUUCAUCUGAAAAUUUCAGGGCAGAUAGAUCUUGACCUGAUAAACAAUAUUAUCCCAUGUCAGAUUUGCUCUAAAUGCUUUGGUUUUUGAGUUAUAAGCCAAAAACUGCAUUUGACCCCUAUGUUUUAUUUUUAGCAAUGGCGACCAUGUUUGUUGAUAGAUCACAACUUCGGAUACAAUUUACAAACUAGAUACCCUAAGGAACAUUCAGUUAAAGUUUGGAAGUAUUCGCCCAGUAGUUUCAGAGGAGAAGAUUUUUGUAAAAGAUUACUAAGAUUUACGAAAAAUGGUUAAAAAUUGACUAUAAAGGGCAAUAACUCCUAAAGGGGUCAACUGACCAUUUCCGUCAUGUUGACUUAUUUGUAAAUCUUACUUUGCUGAACAUUAUUCCUGUUUACAGUUUAUCUCUAUCUAUAAUAAUAUUCAAGAUAAUAACCAAAAACAGCAAAAUUUCCUUAAAAUUACCAAUUCAGGGGCAGCAACCCAACAACAGGUUGUCUGAUUCAUCUGAAAAUUUCAGGACAGAUAGAUCUUGACCUGAUAAACAAUAUUACCCCCAUGUCAGAUUUGCUCUAAAUGCUUUGGUUUUUGAGUUAUAAGCCAAAAACUGCAUUUGACCCCUAUGUUCUAUUUUUAGCAAUGGCGACCAUGUUUGUUGAUAGAUCAUAACUUCGGAUACAAUUUACAAACUAGAUACCCUAAGGAACAUUCAAUUAAAGUUUGGAAGUAUUUGGCCCAGUAGUUUCAGAGGAGAAGAUUUUUGUAAAAAGAUUACUAAGAUUUACGAAAAAUGGUUAAAAAUUGACUAUAAAGGGCAAUAACUCCUAAAGGGGUCAACUGACCAUUUCCGUCAUGUUGACUUAUUUGUAAAUCUUACUUUGCUGAACAUUAUUCCUGUUUACAGUUUAUCUCUAUCUAUAAUAAUAUUUCAAGAUAAUAACCAAAAACAGCAAAAUUUCCUUAAAAUUACCAAUUCAGGGGCAGCAACCCAACAACAGGUUGUCUGAUUCAUCUGAAAAUGUCAGGGCAGAUAGAUCUUGACCUGAUAAACA
RNAcentral lists this long non-coding RNA (1226 nucleotides) under Mytilus galloprovincialis (Mediterranean mussel). Lineage: Eukaryota; Metazoa; Mollusca; Bivalvia; Mytilida; Mytilidae. The record is from RNAcentral.